RNAcentral lists this long non-coding RNA (358 nucleotides) under Coffea arabica (coffee). RNAcentral describes it as "long non-coding RNA (CARA_LNC004926)". The record is from RNAcentral. Lineage: Eukaryota; Viridiplantae; Streptophyta; Magnoliopsida; Gentianales; Rubiaceae.
CUCAGUCCUCACUCUUUUCACCUGAACGUUACCUAACCCUCCCUCCUCCACCUUUUCCUUUUCAUUUCAUUUCAACACCGACACACACACACACACACACACACACAGAGACGGCAACGCGUCAAUGGCCACCUCUGCCUCUUCCCUCUCUCUAUUCCUCCUCUCCCUCUCUCUCCUCUCCCUUACCGCUACCGCUAGACCCUGCAAAACCCUCUUUUUUUACACCACCACCACCUCCUAUUACCCCUCCACCACCACAACUGCCGCUUCCUUUCGUCAAAACCCUAACUUCGAAAUCCUCCCCAAAUUCCACUCCUAUUCCCCGAAAUUCUUGACUUUCUUCUUCACCACCGUCAAC